AGACCCGAAACCCGGUGAUCUAGCCAUGGGCAGGUUGAAGGUUGGGUAACACUAACUGGAGGACCGAACCGACUAAUGUUGAAAAAUUAGCGGAUGACCUGUGGCUGGGGGUGAAAGGCCAAUCAAACCGGGAGAUAGCUGGUUCUCCCCGAAAGCUAUUUAGGUAGCGCCUCGUGAAUUCAUCUCCGGGGGUAGAGCACUGUUUCGGCUAGGGGGCCAUCCCGGCUUACCAACCCGAUGCAAACUGCGAAUACCGGAGAAUGUUAUCACGGGAGACACACGGCGGGUGCUAACGUCCGUCGUGAAGAGGGAAACAACCCAGACCGCCAGCUAAGGUCCCAAAGUCAUGGUUAAGUGGGAAACGAUGUGGGAAGGCCCAGACAGCCAGGAUGUUGGCUUAGAAGCAGCCAUCAUUUAAAGAAAGCGUAAUAGCUCACUGGUCGAGUCGGCCUGCGCGGAAGAUGUAACGGGGCUAAACCAUGCACCGAAGCUGCGGCAGCGAACGUAUCACCCAAGACAACUUUACGGAGUUGACGAUUGACGGAGCGAAGCGACGUCAAAGCGUUCAUUAAAGUCGAGUUGGCUUAGGGAUACGUUCGUUGGGUAGGGGAGCGUUCUGUAAGCCUGUGAAGGUGUGUCGUGAGGCAUGCUGGAGGUAUCAGAAGUGCGAAUGCUGACAUAAGUAACGAUAAAGCGGGUGAAAAGCCCGCUCGCCGGAAGACCAAGGGUUCCUGUCCAACGUUAAUCGGGGCAGGGUGAGUCGACCCCUAAGGCGAGGCCGAAAGGCGUAGUCGAUGGGAAACGGGUUAAUAUUCCCGUACUUGGUGUUACUGCGAAGGGGGGACGGAGAAGGCUAUGUUGGCCGGGCGACGGUUGUCCCGGUUUAAGC
This 889-nucleotide ribosomal RNA is filed under the name Salmonella enterica subsp. enterica serovar Typhimurium. RNAcentral's name for it is "partial 23S ribosomal RNA". It matches the Rfam family "Bacterial large subunit ribosomal RNA", at positions 711 to 1517 of the family's 2925-position model. The record is from RNAcentral. Lineage: Bacteria; Pseudomonadati; Pseudomonadota; Gammaproteobacteria; Enterobacterales; Enterobacteriaceae.